AGAACGAACGCUGGCGGCAUGCCUAAUACAUGCAAGUCGAACGAACACUUCGGUGUUAGUGGCGCACGGGUGCGUAACGCGUGGGAAUCUGCCCUUGGGUUCGGAAUAACAGUUGGAAACGACUGCUAAUACCGGAUGAUAUCGAAAGAUCAAAGAUUUAUCGCCCAGGGAUGAGCCCGCGUAGGAUUAGCUAGUUGGUGAGGUAAAGGCUCACCAAGGCGACGAUCCUUAGCUGGUCUGAGAGGAUGAUCAGCCACACUGGGACUGAGACACGGCCCAGACUCCUACGGGAGGCAGCAGGUAGGGAAUAGUUGGACAAUGGGCGCAAGCCUGAUCCAGCAAGUGCCGCGUGAGUGAUGAAGGCCUUAGGGUUGUAAAGCUUCUUUACCGAGAUGAUAAUGACUAGUAUCGGGAGAAAGUAACG
RNAcentral lists this ribosomal RNA (424 nucleotides) under uncultured soil bacterium. RNAcentral describes it as "bacterial SSU rRNA". It matches the Rfam family "Bacterial small subunit ribosomal RNA", at positions 26 to 495 of the family's 1533-position model. The record is from RNAcentral.